CCUACGGGUGGCAGCAGUGGGGAAUAUUGGACAAUGGGGGAAACCCUGAUCCAGCGACGCCGCGUGAGUGAAGAAGUAUUUCGGUACGUAAAGCUCUAUCAGCAGGAAAGAAAAUUACGGUACCUGACUAAGAAUCCCCGGCUAACUACGUGCCAGCAGCCGCGGUAAUACGUAGGGGGCAAGCGUUAUCCGGAUUUACUGGGUGUAAAGGGAGCGUAGACGGCUGCGCAAGUAUGGAGUGAAAUGCCGGGGCCCAACCCCGGAACUGCACUGGAAACUGUGAAGCUGGAGUGCAGGAGAGGUAAGCGGAAUUCCUGGUGUAGCGGUGAAAUGCGUAGAUAUCAGGAGGAACACCGGCGGCGAAGGCGGCUCACUGGACUGCAACUGACGCUGAUGCUCGAAGGUGUGGGUAUCAAACAGGAUUAGAUACCCGGGUAGUC
Molecule: ribosomal RNA, 440 nt
Filed under: uncultured bacterium
Lineage: Bacteria
Description: partial 16S ribosomal RNA
Rfam family: Bacterial small subunit ribosomal RNA
Source: RNAcentral